GGCUACGAGGACGAACGGCUGGCGGCGUGCCUAAUACAUGCAAGUCGAACGGUCUUUCUAUGGAAGCUUGCUUCCACUGAGAAGAUAGUGGCGAACGGGUGAGUAACACGUGGGUAACCUGCCCAUAAGAGGGGGGAUAACAUCCGGAAACGGGUGCUAAUACCGCAUAGUUUUCUUGGUCGCAUGAUCGGGAAAGGAAAGACGGCCUUUGUGCUGUCGCUUAUGGAUGGACCCGCGGCGUAUUAGUUAGUUGGUGAGGUAACGGCUCACCAAGACGAUGAUACGUAGCCGACCUGAGAGGGUGAUCGGCCACAUUGGGACUGAGACACGGCCCAAACUCCUACGGGAGGCAGCAGUAGGGAAUCUUCCGCAAUGGACGAAAGUCUGACGGAGCAACGCCGCGUGAGUGAAGAAAGGUUUUCGGAUCGUAAAACUCUGUUGUCAGAGAAGAACAAGUUGGAGAGUAACUGCUCCAGCCUUGACGGUAUCUGACCAGAAAGCCACGGCUAACUACGUGCCAGCAGCCGC
This 528-nucleotide ribosomal RNA is filed under the name uncultured bacterium. RNAcentral describes it as "bacterial SSU rRNA". It matches the Rfam family "Bacterial small subunit ribosomal RNA", at positions 26 to 518 of the family's 1533-position model. The record is from RNAcentral.